Molecule: small RNA, 176 nt
Filed under: Chrysemys picta bellii (western painted turtle)
Lineage: Eukaryota; Metazoa; Chordata; Testudines; Emydidae
Description: TUC338 (ENSCPBG00000016324.1)
Source: RNAcentral
UUGUAGCCCCUGGAGAAAGAAGUCUUAUAUUUAUGCCUGGGACAGGUACAGCACAGGCAGCAACAGUGCAAACACACAUCCUCCUCCUUCACUGUGUCCCUCAACACCGGAGGUUCGUCUUUAAGAGUAAAAGGAGCUACUCACCUUUCAGUUUCUGCAGACAGUCAAAGGAGUCA